AAAACAUCGGUUCCCGUACAAUUACUAAAGUUAAGCAACAUCGAGCCUGGUCAGUACCUAGAUGGGUAACCAUUUGGGAAUGCCAGGUGCUGUAAG
This is a non-coding RNA of Acanthosepion pharaonis, 96 nucleotides long. The record is from the annotation of a GenBank genome assembly. NCBI's taxonomy places the organism in Eukaryota, Metazoa, Mollusca, Cephalopoda, Sepiida, Sepiidae.